Molecule: ribosomal RNA, 465 nt
Filed under: uncultured bacterium
Lineage: Bacteria
Description: partial 16S ribosomal RNA
Rfam family: Bacterial small subunit ribosomal RNA
Source: RNAcentral
CCUACGGGUGGCAGCAGUGGGGAAUAUUGCGCAAUGGGCGAAAGCCUGACGCAGCGACGCCGCGUGAGGGAUGAAGGUCUUCGGAUCGUAAACCUCUGUCAGCAGGGAAGAACGGUCACUGUGCUAAUCAGCAGUGAAUUGACGGUACCUGCAAAGGAAGCACCGGCUAACUCCGUGCCAGCAGCCGCGGUAAUACGGAGGGUGCGAGCGUUAAUCGGACUUACUGGGCGUAAAGCGAUCGUAGGCGGUAUGUCAAGUCAAGGGUGAAAUCCCCGCGCUCAACGUGGGAACUGCCUUUGAAACUGGCAAACUGGAGUGUGGGAGAGGAUAGUGGAAUUCCAGGUGUAGGAGUGAAAUGCGUAGAUAUCUGGAGGAACAUCGGUGGCGAAGGCGACUAUCUGGCACAUAACUGACGCUGAGGAGCGAAAGCGUGGGUAGCAAACAGGAUCAGAUACCCCGGUAGUC